Molecule: ribosomal RNA, 451 nt
Filed under: uncultured bacterium
Lineage: Bacteria
Description: partial 16S ribosomal RNA
Rfam family: Bacterial small subunit ribosomal RNA
Source: RNAcentral
GUGGGGAAUAUUGGACAAUGGGGGGAACCCUGAUCCAGCCAUGCCGCGUGUGUGAAGAAGGCCUUUUGGUUGUAAAGCACUUUAAGCGAGGAGGAGGCUACCGAGAUUAAUACUCUUGGAUAGUGGACGUUACUCGCAGAAUAAGCACCGGCUAACUCUGUGCCAGCAGCCGCGGUAAUACAGAGGGUGCAAGCGUUAAUCGGAUUUACUGGGCGUAAAGCGCGCGUAGGUGGCCAAUUAAGUCAAAUGUGAAAUCCCCGAGCUUAACUUGGGAAUUGCAAUCGAUACUGGUUGGCUAGAGUAUGGGAGAGGAUGGUAGAAUUCCAGGUGUAGCGGUGAAAUGCGUAGAGAUCUGGAGGAAUACCGAUGGCGAAGGCAGCCAUCUGGCCUAAUACUGACACUGAGGUGCGAAAGCAUGGGGAGCAAACAGGAUUAGAUACCCUGGUAGUCC